AUAAACAUUGCAAUAUAUAAUAGAUGGAAGAGUAAUAAAAUUUGUCUUACAAUCGCCACAAGCUAAAUUACAGAUCCACACAGCCAUUCAUUAUUUCGAUAUAAAACAGGGUCCGAGUACGGACAAGAUAGACGACAAAAUUUAAUGCUAUCCCACCUUGCUAGGACCACGAUCACGACCAAGUGCCUCUAGUCCUCGGGGUACGUCACAUGCAACCGGCCACAGUCCUCGUCAAACUCCCACUUCAGCUGGGUAUCCUCGGAAGCAUUUGUAUCUGGGGUACCUGUACCUGUGGGUGGUUGUAGUAAUCUGUGAGCCACAAGGACUCAGCAAUCUCAUGACCUUAGAUUCGAAUCUAACUAAGUCACUAGGUGAGGAUGGGGUAUGUGUUUGGGUUUGCGGCAACCUAAGCAUUUAUAGUGGCUAACUUACAUUGAACAAGAAUUAAAGAUAUGGUGGUCUACGCAUGACGUUCGUUAACUAAGAAUAAUCACUAAGUGAUCCUGGACGCCAACUUACAUCAGUCAUAACCCCACCAUGUUCUCGAUUAGAGAAGGAACUCUGAAGGAGACAUUCCCAGUUACGCACACAGUUGGCAUGUUUUAAUUAAGUUACUUAAAGUUAUCUAGAACCGGAUGUUAACAAAGUUUCCAUGUUUGCCACAUAACCGCGGACAUGGCUUUCCAAAAGAUUUAACCCUGCAGGGGUGUUCGAAUUAAUCCAUCACAAAUUACCACAGGACGCAUAGAAAUCGUCGAUCAUGAAUGUCGUGACCUCGUUGGAUUCCUUAGUGGAAAACCUCAACUCAGAGAAGACCCAAAGUCUCACCGGAAUCCCAAUGCACAAGAUAUAUCGUUAAGGUAAGACAAGUCAAGCAAGACCUCUCGACAUGUCGACGAACCCGAUGAGCGCGUAUCUCGUUGUCAAGACACGACGGAUAAGCGAUGGUUACGACACCAAAACACCGAGUUACCCCAGGGAGCAUUAAUAAGCUGCUCUGGGUUGGACCAACACUCAUGAGGAUCACUGGCCUGGGGGUUGAUUAAUUCUCCUCGGGGUAGCUAUUCCCUAUGCUUUUAUUAUUAAGAUGUUAGCAAAUUAACACCAAAGUUGGGUCUUGCCAGACAACCCUUAGUCUAAACAAUUUACCAAGGGGGUCCCCAUAACAACCCCGAACGUGUUUGGUCCGCUCAGUUAUGGAAUAAAACAUCGGAAGCCGAAACUAAUAUGUGAGGAUGGGGUAUGUGUUUGAGUUUGCAGGAACCUAAGCAUUUAUGGUGUAUAACUUACGUUGAACAAGAAUUAAAGAUAUAGUGGUAUACGCAUGACGAUUGUGAACUAAGAAUAAUCACUAAUAGAUCAUAAACGCCUACUUACAUCAUUCACAACCCCACCUAUUCUCGAUGAGAGAAGGAUCUCUGAAGAAGAUAGUCACGGUUACACACAGUUGGCAAGUUUUAAUUAAGUUACUUUAAGUCAUCUAGAACCGGGUGCUAACAAAGUAUCCAUGUUUGCCACAUAGCCGCAGCACGGCUUUCCGAAAUAUUUAACCCUACAGGGGUGCUCCGACUAAUCCAUCACAAAUUACCACAGGCCCCAUAGAAACCCUCGAUCAUGAAAUUCGUGAUCUCGUCGGAUUUCUUAGUGGAAAACCUCAACUCUAUGAAGACCAAAGUCUCACCGGAAUUCCAAUGCACAAGAUAUAUCGUUAAGGUAAGACAAGUCCAGCAAGACCACCCGAUGUGUCGACGAACCCGAUAAGAGCCGCAUAUCUCGUUCUCACGACAGAAUAGAUGGAACUAGCUAUGGGGAAAACCAAUCCCCACCUCGUGGUGGUGCAGGCAGUACAUUUUGGACCAACAAUCAUGAGGAGCACUGGCCCGGGUUGUUGAUUAAGUCUCCUCGGGGUAGCUAUUCCCUAUGCUUUUUAUUAAGUUGUUGGCAAAUUUAACACCAAAGUUGGGUCUUGCCAGACAAGCUUAACACUAAACGAUUUACGAAGGGGGUCCCCAUAGCAACCCCGAAGCUGUUAGGAGCGCUCAGUUAUGGAAUAAAACAUCGGUUGCCGAAACUAAGGUGGCAAAGGCGGAACAAAUCACCUAGAAAGAAGCCAGGUCUUCCGCCUUUUACCAAGUAUAUAGGUGCAUUAAUUAAAUAACAUUUAAAAUAAGAUGAUAAUAAAAUUGCCCAUGUUAUCACAUGGAUGAGCUUGCACCUGCAACUAGCAACGCUAAUGAAAUUGUUGAGCAAGCCUAACUUAGCCAAACAAUAUUUGCUAGGAGGGGAAAUGUUAGAGGUUUCAUGGCAAUGUUUGAUGGCAUAUAUAUCAUGUGGUAGGCAGCGGAAAAAACGGUGGAAAUGAAUCAACUAUUCAUAACAAAGCUAUAAACGGUGUCAAGGUCAUGAUCAUCUUGUGUGUGAUAUCUUCAGAGUGGAACUGUUGCCGAUCUUACUGAAUGAACUCACCGGACUCCUUGAACUCGUUUCACGCACCCAUUGCUACCAAAAGAAACAAUCACCCAAUAAACACCAGCAAGUGAUAAUACAACACACAAUAUGAUGCAUGUAUGGCACACACUUCAAAGCACACAUAGAAAUAAUCCUACUCAAAUGACAAAGUGCCACCUCAUCACAAAAUGGCACUUUUUUAGAACUGCUCAAAACUGCAAACUAGUGCAACCAUUAGAUUCCUUGGGUUUUUCUACCCCAAAUCCAUAUAUCAUACUGCUAUACUUGCAUGCAUAAAAAUACCACAAAACUGAAAAGGAAAUCUACCGAGAAUCAUAAAUCACUAUAUGUCAAAAUGAGAGGUUGAUUUUGCAUAUGCCAGGUUUGGCAUAUUCCAUCUCUGGAAUAUUAAAGAUAUGGAAAUACCCACAACUAAAAAUAAAUGCCCUCAAAAUAUAAUAUAACAUGGGGGGGCACGGGUUAUAGGCACCAGGGCCCUAGUGCAUGACUGGUGGGUUGUGUGGCCCACUGUCAGUGGCACAACUACAACAAUCAGCAACUUGCAACAGAAAAAAUGAAAAGGGGAGAAAUGUGGGUCGAACCCACCACCUCACCAAACACAACCAUGCCCCCAUGCCACUGGGCUACUUUGAUGUAGCUGCACUAAUAGGGGAGAAACUCAGAUAACCAACCAUUGCAUCCUAAUCCAUAGAAGGAAAAAAUAACCCAAAAGGGGUGCGCGCUAGGGGUCUCAAACCCACGACCAACAAGUGCGGCUGUGGCUCGGUUGCCACCGCGGUAGGUUGCGGGUUCUGCUAGAAAAGGGGCACCAAUUCAGAUAAGCAUAUCACAGGCUACACAACAGACCGAAAUUGCAGAAUUUAAAAGGGGUGCGGGGUUUUGACCCAAGACCAUCAGGUCUUUGUGUUGCGCUAGAACUAGUAGGCUAGGUAGGGGGAUUCUGUUGUAUGUUGGGAUCCACACGAGAUGUCAAAUUAAAAGGGGACGCCUUCCACUGCUAGAGAAGAGAGACGCCGGCGGCAUCUCACCGGUGCAAGCACAAGCACGCACACUCAUGACACUACAUGGGGAAACUGCUAGCGGUGUUGUGUGCUCGAGCAAAGGGCAUCUCUGGCCUUCGCAAACGCGCAUGCAAGCAAGCAAGCAGCUGUGCACGAGCGAGUGCAGCUGCACUCGCCGGUGCACUCUGCAACUGCUGCUACUACCACUAUGUCUCUGCAGCUACUUCCACUAUGGCAUUGCUGCUACUGCCACUACGAUGUUGCUUCUACUACCACAAUGGCGUUGCUUCUAGUGACACUACGACGUUGCUGUUAUUACGCGACGGUAGUGAAAAAAGCAACGGCGAUGGCAGUCUACGUGACGCCGGAUGGCUACAGACACAGAGGGGGAAGCAGAGGAGAGCAGUGUUGCGGCUCACCCAGGGUGGAGGGGAUUGGAACUCUAACGAAGGGGAGGAACGACGCGUCGACGAUCUCCUUGCAGAAGAGGUCGCAUGAGGUGCUGAAGAGCCAAUCGUCAUGGACGUCGAAGUGCUCACUCCUGGCGCCCGAUCACUACGGGAAUGGAUCCCUCUUGGCGUCCGCAUCCUUCGGGUGCAGCUGGGGAAGAAGGGGGCGACGCCUACGCCGGUGACGAGCUUGAGUAGGAGGCGGCCGUGGCGAUGAUGGUGGUGCUUGGGUCCUCGCCCCGAGGGUGCUAGGGGAAGAGGAGGAGGGAGAAUGGGCGAGGAGGAACCCUACGCGCAGGGCAUGGCUAAAUAGGCCAGAGGGGGGGCUCUGUUGGCCGUCUGAUCUUGGCCAAGGGGGAAUCGAUAGUGGCUGAGGAGUUCAUACACAGGGUGACGUCUAAAGGAGAAAGAAGGGACGCGCUGGUGGACCUAGGCCAAAACAAACAGAGCUGGGCCAGGCUUCCCUCCUUUGUGAGUUUAAAAGAUUUUGUAAAUAAAAACAACAGGUUGCUUUAAUAAAUUACAGAGGCUAAAAUAAAAAGGUUUUUGAUAAGAUAAGAAUAUCUUUGGUCUUCUAAAAUGUUGCCCCUGUUUAUAAAAAUAAGUAGGGCGUUUUAGAAGAAAAAAAUAAAUUCCUUUUAUUUAACAAUGAGUCUCCAUUUUUAAAUAAAACCAAAAGGAAAAUAUAAUAAACGCGAGGGGUUGCACUCCACAAUUAAUAGAAAGAAUUUCAGAAGACAGGAACAUUUUAUUUUACCCCAAAGAGAAACUUGAAACUCAACUACUAAUUAAAUUGGAAGAAAGGGUUUUAAAAGGGCUACGGUGCAACAAGUGGUUUUGAGUUGGAUCUUGUUGCACCAACACAGAAAACAAUUAGAUGCUAGUAAUUAUACAAUGCACACACACUUCAUACCAAGGUGCAACACAAGUAACUCAAGACAAGAACAAAAGAAAUGAUGUUAUGCAUGAUGCCAUGAUGCAAUAGAAAUGAAGCCAAACUUAAACUCUUUAUUAAAAUUCAACAUGCAAACAAAGGAAGGUUGCCAUACAAUGAAAGAUAUUACAAUAGGGGGCAGGAAUUGCAUUGGGACUGUUACAGCUCUCAAGCAAGGACUCAAGCAUUAGAUUGUCUUUAUAAUGCCACUUGAAAAGAAGAGUUUUUGGAAAGAGGCUUCGAAAAAAGUCAUGAAGCAAAUUAUUUAUCAAUUUUUUUAUUCUAGGCAAUAUUUUAUUUCAUAAAAAUAUUAUUAAUUUUUUGGGGUGUGGCAGUGCAUCGACUUCAUGACUUUUUAUGGAGAAACGGAGUAAUGCUUGAAGAAUGAUGACAUGAUGUAGACAAGAAUUAUUCAUGUGGGAAUAGACCCCAUCGUUUUAUCUUUAAGAGCAAAUAUACAUGCUUGUCAUGUCAUUUUGUGUCACUGAGAUUGAGCACCGCAAGAUCGAAUGCAUGACAAAGCACCUCUUCCCAUUCCAAGAUUAAAAGAUCAAGUUGGCCAGACAAAACCCAAAUAUCAGAGAAGAAAUACGAGGCUAUAAUAAUCAAGAAUGGUUAUAAUUUCAUAGAUCUGACGAUAAACUCACAAUUGAUCAUAUCCCAACAAACACACCGCAAAAGAUAGAGUUACAUCGAAUAGAUUUCCAAGAGAGCAUCAUAUUGAAAAGCAAAAAGAGAGACAAACCCAUCUAGAUACUAGCUAUAGACCCAUAGGUAUAAUAUGAACUACUCACCCAUCAUCGGAGGAGUACCAAUGAGCAUGAUGAACCCCUCCAUGACCGUGUUCCUCUUUGGAACGGGCUCUAGAUUGGAUUUUGUGGCUUCUAGAACUCGCGGUGGCUGAAAUGAUUUUUCGUCUUCUCUUCUAGGGUUUGUGUAAUAUUGUGGUAUUUAUAGAGCUUAGAGGCGGUAGAGGAGGUUCUUGAGGCCCCCACUACCCACCAGGGUGCGUCAGGGGCCCAAGGCGCGCCCUGGUGCCUCGUGGGCCACGUGGGCCUGCUCUAGUGAGCAUAUUUGGUCCUCAAGUUUCCUUAUGGUUAUAAAAAUCUCCAAAAAGUUUCGAGGCAUUUAGACUUCAUGUGAUAUUGAUUCUUUGCAAAGGAAAAAAUAUGUAAAAAUAACAACUGGCUAUAGGCACUAUGUUAAUAGAUUAGUUGCAAAAGGAGAUAUAAAGUUGCUAUAAAAUGAUUAUAAAACAUCCAAGAAUGAUAAUACAAUAACAUGGAACAAUAAAAAAUUAUAGAUUCGUUCAAGACGUAUGAGGGGGCUGAAGCCGAUGACUGGCAGCUUUCAGAUAAAAACAACCACACAUGAGUCAAAAUAAUUUAAUGAAGCAUGAUAUACCAUGCAAAGCAACUACAUCAUAAAUUGCAAGAGUUCAACUAUUAUUUGGUAUAUGAUAGUACUCUCACUCAUAGAUUAGAUCUUUUGAGCACUGAGCCUCUAUCGCCCGAGCACCAUCCAUUACAGUGGGAAAAUAUUGCUAGGGACGCCUAUGCUCCUUCCAAGGAGGUGGGGGUCAGGUAGCCGUCUCGGCUAGCUUGAUCUUUGGCCAAGGCACCAUGGUCUUCUUGGGGAACGUUGCAUGGGAAACAAAAAAUUUCCUAUGCACACGCAAUCCCUAUCCAUGGUGAUGAUCAUCUACGAGAGGGGAGAGUGAAUCUACAUACCCUUGCAGAUCGCUAAGCAGAAUCCUAUAUAACGCGGUUAAUGUAGUGGAACAUCUUCUGAUCCAAAUUGCAGCCCGUCCCGUGAUCUCAUCACGAUCCGUCCCGCGAUCCCAUCACGAUCCAUCCCGAUCUAGUGCCGAACGGACGGCACCUCCACGUUUAGCACACGUACAGCUCGAUGACCAUCCCCGCCUUCUUGAUCUAGCAAGAGCGGCAGAGAGGUAGAUGAGUUCUCCAGCACGGCGGCGUGGUGGCGGUGGUGGUUAAUUAAUCCAAUAGGGCUUCGCCUAAGCACCGCCCAACUAGACUAGAGGAGAAACAGAUCUAGAGAGAAGUAGAGGGAGAACAUGGCAAUUAGUGUUAGACCUCACCUCUAAAACCUCUAGUAUAUAUAGGGGGAGGGAGGGGAGGAGGCAGCCUCAAACCCUCAAGGUUUGGCCAAAAUUGGAGGUGGAGGAGUCCUACUCCAAUCCUACUAGGAGUAGGAUUCCUCCUUUCCACUUGGAAACCCUUUCCACCUUUUCCACCUUUGAGUUUUUUGCCUCUCAAACAUCAUGGGACCUAGUGGGAGCUUAUUUCAGCCCACUAGGGGCUGGUUUGUAUCCUCCCACAGCCCAUAAGGCCACUCGGGGCGUGACAACCCUUCCAAUGGUCCCCGGUACCCUCCCGGCACUCCCAGUACACUACGGAUGAGCCCGAAACUUUUCCGGUGAUCAAAACAAGACUUCCUAUAUAUCAAUCUUUACCUACGGACCAUUCCGGAGCUCCUAGUGACGUCCGAGAUCUCAUCCGGGACUCCGAACAACUUUUUGUUACCAACACCUAUAACUCAACUAUACCGAAAAUGUCACCGAACCUUAAGUGUGCAGACCCUGCGGGUUCGAGAACUAUGGAGAGAUGACCUGAGACACUCCCCGGUCAAUAACCAAUAGCGGGACCUGGAUGUCCAUAUUGGCUCCUACAUAGUCUACGAAGAUCUCUAUCGGUUGAACCUCUAUGUCAAUGAUUUAGUUAAUCCCGUAUGAUGUUCCCUUUGUCCUUCGGUAUGUUACUUGCCCGAGAUUUGAUCGUCGGUAUCUCCAUAGCUAGUUCAAUCCCGUUACCGGCAAGUCUCUUUACUCAUUCCGUAAUAAAAUAUCCCAUGACUAACUCCUUAGUCACAUUGUUUGCAAGGCCUAUUGUGAUGUUGUAUUACCGAGUGGGCCCCGAGAUACCUCUCCGUCACACGGAGUGACAAAUCCCAGUCUCGAUCCAUGCCAACCCAACAGACACCUUUGGAGAUACCUGUAGAGCACCUUUAUGGUCACCCAGUAACAUUGCGACAUUUGAUACACGCAAGGUAUUCCUCUGGUGUCCGGGAUUUACAUGAUGUCAUGGUUAUAGGAACUGGUACAUUGACAUGCAACAAACAGUAGCACUAAACUGACAUGAUCAUAUGCUACGUUUAUAGUUUGGGUCUUGUCCAUCAAAUCAUUGUCCUAAUGAUGUAAUCCCGUUAUCAAGUGACAACACUUGUCUAUGGCCAGGAAACCUUAACCAUCUUUGAUCAACGAGCUAGUCAACUAGAGGCUCACUAAGGAUAGUGUGUUGUCUAUGUAUCCACACAUGUAUUUGAGUUUCCAAACAAUACAAUUCUAGCAUGGAUAAUAAACGAUUAUCAUCAACAAGGAAAUAUAAUAAUAACCAAUUUAUUAUUGCCUCUAGGGCAUAUUUCCAACAGGUCUUUGCAAAGGCCAUCCGAGCUCCCUCUUUGCAUACAGAGCGCUUCAAGACAUUAAUUCAUGAUGCAACAUUGUAGAGCUUCUGCACCAAACCGAAGUAGCUGCUCAAUUGCAGUUUCGAAGGACAAGUGUGAAGUAGAGGUCCUUCAUGGACGUCUUCUCCAUCCAAUGCAAGUCCAUCAACACCUUCAUUUGAUGGGUGAGAGGGAGAGGAUGCUUGGGGGCAUGAAACUAUGCCCAGAACAUCCUUCGCUCGACAACCCCGUCCCGGAUUGCAAAAUAUCUUGCCGCAUCAACCACACUCCUCAAAAGAUCCGUGAAAUCUCCUUAAGAAUGCCACACACAUGUGAGAAACGCAAACCUGAUAGCACCGAAGGGAGAUUGCAAUAAGUACUCUUACCAUCCGCAAUAAGCUUGGUUUCGUGGAUCUCCUUCUGGUAGCCUUCCGCCUCCAUUCGGGCUUCUUGGAUCAGUGACGUCACCGAGGUCAGCUUGGGAGUUUGAUCUUUAUUCUUCUGCUCGAGGGACUCACAUUUACUAAUGACAUCAUUUUACUCCUGUUGCACCGGACGCACCCUGGCCUCGUGCCUCUCACUCAAUGUGUUUCUUGAUGUCAGUUUGGUGACUGCUCGGGCAACCACCUCCUUCUGCUCUGCGGCCUCUUGCCUCGCCUUGCUUAUCUCCACCUUGAGGUUCUCAACCUCUGUGGCGACAAUGAUAAUCCUAAAUAAGCACCUCAUGCUUGAUGAGGAAAACUACAAUAGUAACAAAUUCCAUUCUGAACUUACCUUACGCUUCGUCAAAACGCUUGUUGGGACGGUCGAGCUAUUCAUCGGAGGUCUUGAGCUUCCGAUUAAUUUCAUAAAACUCCAUUGCAUUGGCAUCUGCCGCUGAAGAUGACACCUACAUAAAAACGCUUAUGUGUGUCACACUUCCGAGCUAUCGAUUUUUAGACCCUCUGCGAAUCCUGCUAGACUCUCGGGGGCUACAACUCACUUUUACUACUAUCAAUGUUCUUGAACCAGUUUUUACCCCCACUCGAGUUUUUCUAAAACUCAACCAAGGCUCGGGGCAGCCAUAUAUAAGGAUUAUAUAAAUCUACAAAAAUAAAUUUUCCUUGUAAAAGGUUAUUACAUGAUUUACCUUGAAGCCCGUCACGAGGCCUCUGAAAGCCUCCUUUAGUCCGAUGUCAACGGACUAAAUGCUUUGCAAAACCGCACCAAGGAAAGUGUAGUCCUCUUCAGUGAUGGAGGGGCCAUUAAAAGCCUCCUCCAUCAUAAUCGGCCACCUGGUCUUGGCCUGUUUUACUACGGGUGGUGCUUGUGGCGGCACCUCGCCUCCCCUUUCGGUGGAGUCCGGAACGGACGACUCCGUCGGCGUGGGGAUCUCCGGGGCAGCCUUUGGAGGUAGCUCGGCAGACCAGGCUCCCCCUCUUUGUUCACCAGAAGGGAAUCUCCCUCCUCGUCUUUGGUGAUCGAGGUGGUAACCUCGGUCAUAAUGUCAUCGCACCGACCCCCCGUGUUCGCCUAGGGAGGGGUCCUUCGGAACAACUCCUUCACGGCCUCAUCGGUAGGCGAGGGAGGUGUAGUACGCGAUGCGGUCCCACUCUUCGCUAGAUCAGCUGGUGGAGAGUCCCCCUCCGAGGAUUGAUCGGUGGGAAGCUCACACGAUGGGCUACAAUAUGAAAGGAAUCCAUUUGGUUAGUAACAAAACCUCGAUAUGAACGCAAGACAGAGCCUUCAAAUUAAUACCUUUUCGCGAGAUGUUUGACACUGGGGUUCCUUCAUGGAACUAAUUCAUAAGCCUUGGACUCUCGUGCGGAGUUCGGUGUGUCAUCGGACAGGGCCACCUUGCCCGUGCACAAACUUUUCGGGGCAAGAGGAGGCAGAUCCUCCUCCGCGUCAUCGGACUCCUCCCUUUUUCUUGUUUGAGCCGAGUCACACUCCUCCCCGUCCUGUCCCUACUCUUCCUCGUGAGCAGAGGAGGUGUGGGUCUCCCCUGACUUAGUGUCUGGGGGUCCAUGUGAGCGGAGGCCCUCUCAUGCCUCCCUCUUCCCGCCCUUCUUCUUCUCUUUCCUCUUCGGCACCGUGUACGGCGCCUCGAUCAACAUCAACAUCAACAAGGCAGUCCUAGGGCCCUCGGGCAGCAGGGCUCGGCCAUCAAUUUGUACGACCCUCUCCAGCCAGCUCUGCAAAAGCGAGGAAGAAAGUAUUAAGUUCCUUGUUAAAAGGCAAAACCUAAACAUAAAAAUAAAAACUAUAUUAUACCUUCGUACGACGGUUUUUAGUGUCGAGGCCGAUGUCUUCUCACGGUCCGACCAGUCCUUUUGAGGCUUGAAUAGCACCUUCCACAACUUGUCAUGGGUGGUGCGGUAGAAGCGGCCUUGUAGGCCCACAUUAGGGAUGCCCGAUGUUGACAGGGGAGGAGGCAACGACAUAGAUUGAUUUGGACCACAUUGACCAGUUUGACUUUCUUUUCCAUCAUCUGGGAGACACGCUUCUACAACAACAUCACCUCCGCUGCCGACCACCAAUCAAGCCCCUUCUUAAUCCAUGACACUAGCCUAGUGCGAGGUUCGAAUAUGAAUUCUGAGGGAGCUGCCAUGUCCAUGCCGCGUGGUUUGGUGAUAUAAAACCAAUCUUUCUGCCGGAUUUUGUUGGUGUCGAUGAAGGUUCCUUUCGUCCACUCAACCUGAGGGAGCUUGCUAAUCACCACCCCCACAAUUCGAGUGCUUUCCAGCGACUAUCUUUGGCUUGAUGCUGAUGACCUUUAUCCACAAGCCGAAGUGUACCUGGACCCACACAAAGGCCUCAUAGACAAAAAUCUAACCCAUAGAAAAACAUCAAACCCCUUAAAAAGGGGUGGAGCGGGAAGUUAAGUCCACGGAUGAAGGGGGGAUGAACACCACCCUCUCUCCUUGCUUUGGCAUGGGGAUGACCUGUCCCUUGACUGGAGCACAAUGAAAUAUGUCGGCCAAGAAAUGGCCGGCGCGCUUCAGCUCCUGGAUAUCAUCGUUGGUGAUGCAGGAAGCCCCCACUUGCCCUUGGAACCAGAACCGGCCAUGGCCGAACUGGGGGAAUGGUUUGAGUAGAUUGGAGGGGAGGUUGAGCCCGGGUGCUUAGAGCUCAGAAGAUUGGGAAGACAAUGGCAAAUGCGAGAUGUGAGAAGCAUGCAGAGGCAAUGCUGGUUGUAUCCCUUUUAUAAGCUGCUACAAUACAAAGGGUGCCUUUAUUGCACCACGGACCUCAUCACUUUCCGAUAUAAUCAUGCACUUAUGCGUGCAUGGGACGUGCCAAUGAAAAAAUGGGGCACAAUCUCCAAAUCAUAAAACAUAUCCCUUAAAAAAUGGGGCACAAUCUUCAUAUUGAUGGGACGUGCCAAUGAAAAAACUGCCUCAAACCACGAAUCGAGUUUCCGUAACUGGUCAGUGGUCAUGACCGGCCGGUGCCCUUCACUAAAAGUUGUCAGGUAAAGGCACCAUUCAUACUCGAGUUUUUCUCCUUUAAAGAUGAGUAGCGCACAUAGUUCGGAACCCAAGAAGUCAUCGGUAGUCGAACUACCAUCAACCAAGCAUAGAAGAGGAGAAGAACUUGCCCCGCAAGCCGAAGACUAGAGCCAUGUGAAGCUGCUGAGGAUCGUGAACCUCGGCGUUGGAGGCUAUUUUGGGGGUUACUGAGGUAGUCCUAGACUAAGGGGUCCUCGGGCCGCUCGCCUAUUUCCUAUAGGCCGAACAUGUGGGCCGCUCAACGACUAUUGCAUAAAGGCCGAGCUAUAAGACGACGUCGUGUUCUAGGAGGUAAUAUUUGAUGCCUAGUGUGUCCUUCAAGUCAAGAUGGUUGGAUAGGCAUGUUUAUUCCGUGAUGUAACUGACCAUAUGUAACCCUAGGUACCUCUGACGUCUAUAUAAACCAGAUGGUUUACAUUCGUAGAACACAUCGACAAAACCACCAUCUAGGGUUUAGUUAAUAUGAUCUCGUGGUAGAUCGACUUUGUAAUCAUCAUACGCACAUCAGUACAAUCUAGUAGGACGUAGGGUUUUACCUCUUUCAGAGGGACUGAACCUGGGUAAAUAUUAUCUCUCUGUUCCCUGUUCACCAUUGAUUCAAGAUCCAUAGAUCGGGACCCCUACCCGAGAUCCGCCGAUUUUUACACUGACACACUCGACAUCAUCCGUGGGUCGCGUGCUUGACACAUUCAAUUGGGCCGGUACGCUCGCCAGACCAAUGGGCCCUUGUACAAAGUCGACCGAGCCAUCGUGACAUGCAUGUGUGUAGCCGGCCGACGGAGCUACGUCGCAUCAAUGAAAUUACUGCUCCAUCGGGACACAACUACGUCGCACCAGUGCAAUUAGUGCACCCUCGAGAUAAAACUUUACCGAUUGACAUGCCUCUAUUGAGUGUGAAAAACGCAUUCAAACGCCAAACAUUAACACAAAUAGUGCUUCGGUGGGCAAUUAGUACCACUAUUAGCGGGUGCUCCAAUGAACGCAUUCAAAUAGACGUGUCUCACCAUGGCUAUUUAAACUCCUCCCGUCUACAUCUUCACCUCAACUCGCAUCCACCUUCUUGCUCCUCAAUAUCCAAAGCACAGCGAGAUCUCUCCCAAGACAAGAUGUAGUUCUAUGACCCAACCUACCGCAUGCCGGCCAUUGUGCCGGACAUGCGGCACCCCACCCAGGUCGUUGUGGAAUACACCCUUUGCGUGUGGGCUAUAUCAAGGUGGAGGCAUCCGACAGAGCUAGAUAACUUAUUCCUUGCUGCCGGCAAUCGCCACCUCCCACACGUGUCUCUGGUCAUGUUCCGCAUUGAAGAGGUUUGUUCCAAUGGCCUUGUGUGAUUGACCCCACCGCUUGCUUCACCGACUGCUUCGACACCUACAGCCUCCUUGGCAAAGUAUCUUGGUGUGGGUGCGAGUUCAUCACUAUCACCACCCCAACAUCUUCAUCAACUUCAACAACAUGUUCCCACCCGCGAAGGCAUGCACACUCUCAUGUACAUUUUUCUCGAGGAUGACGAGUGAACGAGAACCCAAAGUGAACUUGGUGGUGUUCGGUGUUGACCAAUAUGCGAGGCUAGGUUAGUUGUAAGGACGCUCCUAUAAGCCCUAUUAAUAUGUAAUAUCUAGGGAAAUAUCUAUGCAUGUAAUGCUUGUGUUCCAUAUAUAUAAAGGGUAUAUAUUAAUCAAACUUGAAUUUCUAUUGACGUGAAUGUAUAUGACUUGAAUUUAUAUCAUCAAUGCAUGGUGCGACGCAACUCUUCGUGUAUAUUUACGCAAGAUUAAGUAAAUCUUUACAUAGAUGUAGGAUUGAUUUAGUUUUACGUGAGGAGUGCCUAUGUGGAAACAACCGGCGAUGCUGAUUCAUUUUUACAUGCCCGUUGAUCCCACACGUCCCCCGCAGACUAUGUAGGGUCAAUGUCCAUGCAAAUCAGUACUGCAUGCGGCUAAAUGUCGGUCUCAAGAAACUAUAUGCACAGGCAACGCGAAUGCAUGCGGCUAAAUGUCGGUCUCAAGCAACUAUAUGCACAGGCAACGCGAAUGCAUGUGGCCUUACAUGUUGGUCCGACGCAUCAACACCGAUGAUGUGUACAUGUGCGGCUUUACAUGUCUGUCCGACGCGUCAGCAGCAAUGAUCCGAAGUGAUGCGUAUAUGUGGCCUUACAUGUUGGUCCCACGCAUCAACAUUGGUGUAAUGACAGUCAAAGGCUUUAACCCGACGACAAGGCACCAUUUGUCUUCUCGUGAGGUGCACGCAAGUGGAGGAGGGGGAAAGUGUGCACUUUGAGUUGGGUGGGGCAAAACUGAGGUGUACUAAGGAAGUAAGGGCAGGAAAAUAGAUAUCACAUAUAAUUAACCCACACGUCUCUUCUCAUGCGAGCUACAUUAUUUUUUUAUUAUAUCCUCCUUGAAUACCUAUCCUUUUUGGACUAGUAUUAUAACAUGUGCACAUUACCUUCCCUAUUAUUUAGACUCUCAAAAAUAUUGAAGUGAAGGAUGUGAGCACAAUUGUUUCUCUAAGAUUUGACACCGGGGUGCUCUAAAAAUAUAUAAGCGAAGCACUAGAACAAUUGCCUAGCUCAAAAGAUAUAAGUGUAGCACAUAGAGUAUUCUAACAAAUUAUGACGAGCAUGUGUCUAUCUCGAAAAUAUGUUUCCAGAAACCAAUGAUUGUGGCAAAUUAAAAAGAAAAGCAACUAUAAUAAAUGCCGCUCCAAGCAAAACUCAUAUCAUGUGAUUAAUAACAAUAUAGCUCCAUGUGGCAUACCAAUAGAAUGGAGACAAAAGAGGGGAUUCCUUUCGAGGCAACCCAAGCUUACACUUUUGGGUCUUCCUUGAAUAUUACCUUGGGGUGCCUUCAGAAUCCCCAAGGUUAGGGUCUUUCCUCUCCUUAUCCCUUCAUGCAUCAUUAUCUCACCCAAAACUUGAAAACUUGAGCACACAAAACUCAAUAGCAACCUCCUUAUUCCGUUGGUAUAAUACGUAAAUCAUAAACUUUAGGUACUGCUGUAAAUUGAUUCAUAUUUAAUAAUUUCAUAAGUUACUAUAUUAUAACUUCUCCAUGACUUACACCCCCUGAUAUAAUCCAUAACAUCAUCAAAACAAGCAGACUAUGCAAGCAAAAAUUGUAUAUGUCUAAAGCGGAACGGUUUGUGAUGAUCAAGCCAAAACCAUACUUCUGUAACUCCGAAAAUCCUGAAAAAUUAGAAAAACCUGGGAAAUUUUAUACCAAUAUUAUGUAAAAAAUUAGAUCAAAAGAACAAUUGAGUAAAAUCACAGAAAUGUUGCACCGGACGUAAAAGUUUUUGUUUUUGCACACGAUCAAUUCUACUAUCUUCCAAAGUAUCCCAUAGGCUUUACUUGGCACAAAAAGUAAUUAAAACACAAAAACACAACCAUUACAGUAUAAAUAAUCACGUCAUCACCCUAAAAUAGAAGGUAAAAGAAAAAUAUUUAAAAUAACUAUUGGGUUGCCUCCUAACAAGCGCUAUUGUUUUAUGCCCCUAACCACACAUGACGCAUAAUAUCAAGUGUUGCUAUAAUCGUAAGGAAUAUUUAGCAUGAUCAUAUCAUAUUCCCUCCUUUCAACAUCAACGUUUCUAAUGGGUAAGUAAAAUAAAUUAAAGGGACUAUAUUUCACAAUGCAAGGAUCUGUGAGGUUAAGCUCACGAGGAGGAUGCUCUUCUUUAGGUCUUUCAUAGGUAAUAGAUAUUUCUUUUGUAUACAAAUUUCUAUAAAGGUAUUCCCUUAAUUUCUUUUCAAUCAAAUAAUCUUGUCCUGGAGUACCUACGGUUAAUUUAUCAUUGUAUAUAAAUAUUUUAUCAAUCAAAACAUUUGGUGAAACUUCCUAAGAUUCUCAUCAUAAGAAACAUAGUCUGUUGAUUUUACUUUCCUUAUUUCUUAUUGGUCAUCAAGAAUUCCUUAUAUAGGUGGGCACUCGCCAUUGAUUAUAUAGUGAGCAAUAUUUCUCUAGCUUGUUUUAUAAUGAUGAAAAUAGUGGAUAAACGUUUAGGAUGGGGAACAUGCAUGUUAGAAAAUUCUAGAAAAGCCUUUGUACACUAGGAUGCAUAUGCACAAAUUGUCUCUCCAAAUAUACUACUAGCAAAUAUAUAACAUCCACAAAACUCGUAGUUCUAGUAAGUAUUGAUCCACCUAUUAUAGGCAACGAGCCAUCACAAGUAAAGAAAUCUUGCAUCAAACUUUUUUCAGUAAUAUUACCACUACCUACACAGAAUUUAUUUGUAUGCAUAGUAGCGGGUUAUCCCUGAUAAGGAUCACCAUCAGCAAGAUUUUCAAGUGUUUGUGUAGCAACUUCAUCAAAAUUCCUUCGAAUGUUUUCAUAAUUGGUGAAUCUUGAUGAUCUAAAGGUUCUGCACUAGUAGCGGGAGCAUCAUUAAACCUUUUAAAUUCACACAUGCUAGGGACUUAGAGAAAAACCAGAAAACAAGAAAAUAAAAAUAUUUUUUGUGUUUUUGAUAUUUUUGAGCAAGCAAAUAUUGAAGGAAGUAAAAGUAGAACAAGUGAAUAAUAAUGAGAAUAAUAAUUUAUGUCAAGGAAAUAAAAAUAUUGAAGGAAGUAAAAGUAGAACAAGUGAAUAAUAAUUUAUGUGAAGGAAUCUAAUGAAAAUUUGAUGAUGUCUCCCCAGAAAUAGUGCGAGAAAUUCUUGGUGCUACUUGUGGGUUGCGUUUGGUUUUUCCACAAAGAGUAAGGGUCAAGCAAUAUAGUAGCGAUAAAUAUUUCCCUUAGUGAGAAUCAAGGUUAUCGAACCAGUUGGAUAACCAAGCAAACCCUCGUCGUCAGCACCUACACACACAAAACCAAGCACUUGCAAACGAUGUGGGCAAGAGGGUUGCCAAGCUCCUUGAACUCGUUACUUGGAGGGAUUAAUUGUGAUAGAUAGAGAUUUAUAAAUUGGAAAAGUAAAUAAAUGGAAGCAAGGUAUUUUUGGUUUUUUGCAGUAUGAUUAGGUAGACCCGGGUGAUGCGUCCACAUGAUUUCUUAUUAGUAUUUAUAUGAUUCUUUGUUAUUAUUCCACUUUAUGAUACAAUUCUUAUGCCUUUAUGAAUUUACAAGGCACAUCACAAAGAGGAAAAUUACCGGAAAGUCGAAUUGGACCUGAAAACCAAGAAAAGGCUGAAAAUUCACUAGACUCCAAAUGACUUCAAAUUCACGAGUACUUGUUGUGGAAUAUAUAUGACUUUAUGGAUAAAAAAUGUACCAAAGGGGGGCACUUGUUGGUGCCAAGCUAAGAGAGCGUGCCCACCCCCCCUACGCGUGCCCUUUAUGGCUUGGGCCCCCCUCCCAGGUGCUUCAGCAUCCCUCUUCUGCUAUAAGUUGGGUUUUGACCUCGAAAUACUUUCGAGAUGAAGCGCCGCCGUCUCGAGGUGAAAACAUGGACAGAGGCGCUUUUGCUCUUCGGCAGAGCAAUUCUGCCGAGGAAACUUCCCUCCGGGAUGGGGAAAUUGAAGCCAUCUUUAUCACCAAUGCUUCCUCCUUCAUGGGAGGACCAAUAUUCAUCAACAUCUUCACUAGCACCAUCUCAUCUCAAACCCUAGUUCAUCUCGUGUAUUCGAUCUUGGUCUCAAAUCCUCAGAUUGGUUACUAGUAGUGUUGAUGACAUCUUGUAGUUGAUGCUAGUUGGUUUAUUUGGUAGAAGAUAAUUUGUUCAGAUCCUUAUUCAAAAUUAUUGCACCUCCGAUCUGGAACAUGGUGAUGAUUUGUGAGUAGUUACUUUUGUUCCCGAGUGAAAGGACGUGGAAGUCGCCUAGAGAGGGAGGGGAUGGGGUGAAUAGGCACUUUAAAAUAAUUAUGGUUUAGCUUGAACAAAUGCGUAAUAAAACAUGCACUUAAUUAGUAAAGCACAAAACCUAAAACAACUAGGGUCACCUAUGUGCACCAACAACUUAUGCUAUGCAAGAUAAACAACAAAGUGACAACAAGAUAUAUAAUAGGAAACAAUAUGGCUAUCACAAAGUGAAGUACAUAAGUAAAGGGUUCGGGUAAGAGAUAACCAAGGCACGUGGAGACAAUGAUGUAUCCCGAAGUUCACACCCAUGUGGAUACUAAUCUACGUUUGGAGCAGUGUGGAGGUAAAAUGCUCCCUUUAAGUGCAUCUAGUUCCCCUUAGUGAUUUUGGUGUAUUGAAGACUUAUAUGUUAAGGGACUAAUGUGUUUUUGAGUGUACACAUGUCCUAUAAGUCCGUGAGGAGUUUGGUUAUCAGACAGAAGUCGACCCAUAAAAAUUGUCUUCAACUGAAGACUUUGAUGCUUUUCUUGAGGACUUUGAAAAUGAAGAAAUCUGGAGUGACCUUGAAGAUAUUGAUGCGAGGACUAUGAAGCGUGAAGACUUCUGUUUUCAUAGUUUCUUUUCUUCUUUUUGAGUCAUAGGAAACAUCAUACUAUUAAAGGGGGUCGAGGUAAUACUAAGGAAAAUUUCCAGGUGAUGCUCAUCUCAAAACCUACACGUACCCAAUCCUUUGAGUGAAGCCUUUGGAAACUCUUACCGUUUAGUCGAAUUCUUAAGUGACAAAGACGAAGUUCUUCUGGUGUUUGAGGAAGUUGGUCUGAUUGAGGAGUUAGGAUUCCUCCAGUGCAAAUUGCCUACCGUGAGGAAUAUCAUAGCCCUGAGGAAUUUGAGAGUUUGAAUUCCGACCAUUGUUGUGCUUAGUGCCAGUUGUCCCAAAGGAUCUUAUCCUUACAAUGGUCAUAUCAUUAGGGGCAUUUAUGUCAUACCAUGUUUGGUUGCACCCUCGCUAUAAAUAGCCACCCCUAAAACCAAUAGCUGGUUGGUUGGUUCGAGAGAGAAAUUGACAAGUGUCCUUGGAGAGCAACCCAUCCUACGAAGACUUUGAGCGAAAUCAUCAGUGAGGAAACACCCAAAAAUGCAACACCUAAAACCCGCAAUGAUUAAGCAUCACUCAAGAGAUUGUUCCUGUGUGGAAUCGACGCUGUUACCUUUAAAGACCGUCUAUUUUCCAUAUGGUUAGGCGUCAUGGUCUAGAGCAUCCAAGAGGAAAUUGUGGAUCACCGGGUGACCAAGUUUGUGAUGGUUUGGAAGUAUACCUUGAAGACUUACCACGAGUGAUUGGGCGAGGUAUCUAUGAACUUAGCUCAAUGAGAAUACGGUAAGGACUAUGUGUCCUAGGAUGGUUUGUCCUUUGGUUUAAAUACUAAGCCACUGCAAACCAGACAUACGAGUGUAACAAUAGUUGGAACUGGUAAACCAAAUCAUUGUCUUGACUAAGAUAAUAGUUCUAUUUCCUCAACCCUUUCAUUUCCUCGAUUACUUGUUGAUGAAAUUGAUCAUUAAUGUUUGAAGAAUUUGAUUGAAUACUUUCUCAAUUUCCUUAAUCCAAAUUCUUGAGUCACCUUAUCUAUCGUGUGCUUAUUUUGCUUUACACACUACUUGUACCACAUCUAUGCUUCAUUUCACCGUGAGAACUUUGCUACUAUCAUGUUAUUCAUCUACUUGAGUACUUUAUCCGCUUCAUGUAUUUCGAUACUCAGCACAUUCCUCAAGUAGUAAUUCCUCAGUGACGAAUUUGUAAAAAUCACCUCCUGACCCCCUCUGGUCGACAUAAUGCACUUACAAUUGGUAUCAGAGCAAGGUACUCCCUUGUUCUAUGUGAUUUUGGUCUAACCACGUGGAGUGUUAGUUAUGUCGACUACAUGUAUGAUCAAGAUCUCUUCAAGGUGUCCUACCUUCGAAGGGGCAGACUACCCCUACUCGAAGAACAAGAUGUGUAUGCAUGUUGAGGUGAUUGACAAUGAUCUAUGCUAUGUUGUAGAAAAUGGUGUUCCCUAUGUCCCUCCCACUAUCAAUGUUGUCGUUGUGAAGAGGUUCAAACAACUUGACUCUCAAGCAAAGAAUAUCAUAUGUGGCCAUGUGAGAAAAGGUUAGUAUGCCGAAGUGAGUGCUUUGGAAUCUACGAAGCUCAUCUGGGACACGAUAUCCAAAGUCAACGAAGGAGUCUCAACAUAACGUGACUCUCAAGUCGAUGUUCUUUAGAAUCUCUUCAAUCACUUCAAAAUACUCGACAACGAAAAUGUUCAGCAAACCUUCGAUCGCCUCACUAUUAUCUCCAAUGAGCUCCAAGCCCUUGGUACCACGGACAUCACCAACCAUGAGGUGGUGAAUAAAUUGCUGAGAACUGUAGAUUCCUCAUUUGACACACUUGCUUUGAUGAUUCAAGACCAUGGAGAGUACAAGUCACUAGACCGUGGUGAUAUUGUUGAGAGGCAGGAUACUCAUGAAUUUCAACAAGCUGAAAAAAGAGAUAUCUAUGGGCCAAGCUAUGGAAGAUCUCGUGCAUUGAAGGCAAAGGCAAUUUCCUCAUCUGAAGAAGAAGAAUGUGACAUAAGUCUUGGUGAUAUUAAAGAAAUUGGACAGAGCUAGAAAUGCUUAUCAGGAAAUUCCAGAAGCUCACAAAAAGAGUCUGGUCUGGAAAAUCUUCGAUAAGUGAUGUGAAGAAAUCAGAAUCUUCAUCACACAAGACUACAAGGUAAGAACUUGACACAAAUGCAAGAAGUCCGGCCACUAAAUUGCUACUUGCCCUUGCUGGGAAAAUGAAUCAAAGAAGAAGAAGUUCAAGGAUGAUAGUUCUAACAACAAGAAAAAGAAGAAGUCUUCAAAGUACUCAUCCCAUAAGAAGAGCAGUUCCAGAAAGGCUCAGGCACUUAUUGGCAAGGAAAUGGAUUCUGAAAAAGCAUGUUAAUGAUAUGAGGAAGAGGAGGAAUCUGAGGAGUCAGACUCUGGUGUGUCAAGCCUACCUAUUGCUACCACAUUCGUCAGCAAGUCCAUCUUCAACAUUGAAGAAAAUGACAUUGUCAACGACACUGAAGACUACACGACGACUUUGCUCCCACCUAUUGCUUCAUGGAAAAAGGUGCCAAGGUACCCAAAGAUGCUUCCUUUUCUGACUCAAGUGAGGAUGAAUCUGAUGAAUAUCAGAAACCUGGUUACUCCAAACUUGCUAAUAUUGCCCCAAGCAACAAAAUGCUACGGAAAAGCUUCGGAAACUAUUAUAUAAAAGCGAUGACCUGUUGAACGAGGAAAUGAAUUACACUCAAACUUUGACUGAUGGUUUUCAAAGUCUUCAGUCUAUUGCUGCAAAUUCCUCAAUUAUUGCUAAUUCUUCACAUGAAAAUUCAAAUGCUUCUAUUGCUGCAAAUUCCUCAACUAUCUUCAUGCACACAAAUUCCUCAUCUGAGGAUACCAUAGGUGUCACUGAUGAAAAUGCCGGGUUGAAGGAAUUGUAUGUGACAUGCAUGUAGGAAAGUCUCAAAGGGCAUAAAACCCUUUGAAGUGUGCUCAAAAAGCAGAUUCAGAACAGGAACCCAAGGAAAGAGGGUAUUGCAUUUUAGACGAAACUCAAUGCUGAUGGACCCGAGUGGAAACCCGAGCAGUAUCCCAAAACAUCAUGGUUUGAUGCAAAAGGACCUCAUGUAGAUCCAUCCACCUUAUCUGGCUUUACUUGUGAAUCUUCAUAUUCCUGUGAUGAGUCAUUUGACUCCCACUGCAAUUUUUUCAAAAAUUAGAAUGGUGAAGUAUUUGCUAUAUAUGUUGGAACAAAUUGCAGGAAUGGCCCCCCUAUGAGGAAAAUCUAGGUUUCCAAGAGCUCCAUGGGAAGUAUUCAAGUGAAUGUCCUCAUGACACCACCCAUCAAGAAUAGGAACCUAGAUCAAAUUCCUCAUAUGGACCAAAGUCCUCACAUGGACCAAAUUCCUCAUAUGUUUAAAAGUCAACUCAUUCUCGUGCUAAUGCUUAUGUUUUGCAGGGAAAAUCUAAGUGUCAUGAAUAUGUGCAUUAUUCUUCGAACCAUUAUGUUCAUAAGUCCUCAAAGAAUUCAUGUGCUUAUUCAUAUGAGUACACUAACGUCCCUACUGUGAAACGUAGUGCAUUAGCUUCAUUACCUAAAUUCUCAUAUGGUGGUCGUAGAAUGAUGAACUAUUUACCACCCUUACAAAUGUGGGUGGUGACCAAAAUGAACUAAUCACUUCUGCAAGGUCAGGUCUCUAGAUGAACUUGAACGUCUCAAGAAUUUUCUCGACACAUAAGGAAAAUGCUUGAAAGGAUGCAAAAUAAUUAUGAAGAAAUGAAUCACUCAUUUCUCACAUCCUCAUGUUAAUUUAACUACUGAACAUUUUAAUGAAAUUUAGUUUGACGAAUUUGAUACCAUAUUCUUCACUCUGAAGUAUAUGAGUUUCUAAGUUGCACUAAUUCAUCUACAUGUUGAACCAACAAAAGCCACUGAGUGGGUCCUUGAUAGUGGAUGCACCAAUCACAUGACUGGAGGCAAGAAUCUUUUGAUCGACCGAGCACUUGCUCCAUCUCAUCUGAAGCAUCUCACCUACACUGACAAAGGAAAAAAGCAUGGUAUUGGGUCUAGGUAGGGUUGGAAUCUUGAAGGAUCGACACACGGAUAAAGUGAUGCUUGUUGAAUCUCUCAGAAUCAACCUCAUACGAGUCUCAAUGCUUUAUGAUCUUGAUAUUGUUAUCAUCUUUGGCAAAUAUCGUUGCGUAGGCGUCAUGAAAUCUGACAAACCCAAAGUCUUUGAAGGUUUUAGGAGAGGAGAUUUUUAUAUUGUUGAUUUCUCCACAGAUCCACAACCGACUACACGAAUACUUACAAAAGCUUCAAAAGGAUGGCUAUGGUAUUGGCCACUUGGACAUGCUAGCAUGAGGAACCUGAAUACUCUCGUGAAUAAGAAGCACGUCAUGGGCAUUGAGGGUGUCAAAUUCCACAAUGAUCAUCUGUGUGGGGCUUGUGAGUCUGGAAAGAUGACCAGAUCCAAGCAUCCCUCCAAGACUAUCAUGACCACCACUCGUCCCUUUGAAUUGCUUCAAAUGGACCUAUUUGGUCCCACUCAUUAUGCCACACUAAUCAAUGCUGCAUAUUUAUACCACUUUGUCAUUUUUGAUGAAUGUUCUCGUUACACUUGGAUGCAUAUUAUCUGGUACAAAACUGGAGUGCAUCAAGUCUUUAGACGAUUUUCUUCGAGAUCCUUGAUGAAUUUUGGUGUCAAGAUCAAGCAUAUCAGGGGUGAUAAUGGGAUCGAGUUCAAGAACACUAGUCUUGAUGACUUUGUUUAUGAACUUGGUAUUACUCAUGAGCUGUCUACCCCAUAUAAUCCUCAGCAGAAUGGCGUCAUGAAGCGCUAGAUCUAGACUCUUGUGGAGAUGGCUUGCACCAUGGUUGAUGAAUACAAGACCCCUCAUCGCUUGUGGCUUGAGGAUAUCAAUUCUGCCUUCCACAUCAUCAACAUGGUAUAGCUUCAUGAAUUCCUCAUGAAGGCUUCAUAUGAACUCCUAAGUGACAAGAAACCCAAUGUGACUUAUUUCAAAGUCUUCGGUGCUAAAUAUUGGAUUAGAGAUCCUCACAACAAUUCUAAAUUUGCAUCAAAAACACACGAAUGUUUUAUUCUUGAUUAAGGGAAGGACUCACACACCUAUAGUUUCUUCAACACCUACCACAACAAGGUUGUUGAAACUAUAGAUGUGUUGUUCGAUGAAACUAAUGGCUCGCAAAGAGAGCACCUCCCUCCCGUGCUAGAUGAAAUGCCUCCUGAGGAAUCCAUUAGGUUCAAGGCUACUGAAGAUAUCAUACCCACUGAAAAACCUCUACCAGCUGUGGAAGCCAUCCAAAACAAUGAAGACAUUCAUGUCGGUGAACCUGAGGAAACUGGUGCUGAAGAAAAUCCUGAGCCUAAACAAAGUCGUUGACCUACUCAUCCUAGAGUGGCUAAUGAAGUGAAGAUUGACAAAAUCCUCAAUGAUAUUAAUGCACCAGGUCCCCUCACUCACUCAAAAGCUUUACACUUGACUAACUUUUAUGGGCACUUUGCUUUUGUCUCUAUCUCACAGCCCACCAAAGUAGGUGAAGCAUUUAUGAAGCUAGAGUGGAUUCAAGCUAUGCAAGAGGAAUUACAUCAAUUCAACCUCAACAACGUGUGACAACUUGUGAAGCGGACAGAUCCACGUAAGCAUAACAUCAUAGGUACCAAGUUGAUGUACCACAACAAAGAAGAUCAAAAUGGUCAAGUGGUGAGUAAUAAGGACUGUCAUGUAGCACAGGGCUACACACUGGUUGAGGGAGUUGACUUUGAUGAAACUUCUGCACCUGUUGCUAGACUUGAAGCUAUUUGCAUACUGCUUGCUUAUGCUAACCAUCACAAUAUCAUCUUAUAUAAAAUGGAUGUCAAAAGUGCAUUCCUUAAUUCUAAGAUUGAGGAAGAAGUAUAUGUUGCUGAAGCCCUCGGUUUUGAUGAUCCUAAGUAUCGUGACUAACUCUUCGGACUCAACAAGGCUUUCUAUGGCUUCAAGCAGGCCCCUCGGGCGUGGUAUGAUUCUUUGAAGGAAUUCCUCAUGAAGAAAGGCUUCAAACCCAGUUCACUUGACCCAACUCUUUCCACGAAAUCUUAUGAUGAUGAAUUAUUUGUAUGCCAAAUAUAUGUGGACGAUAUUAUCUUUGGUUGUACUGACAAGCAUUAUAGUGACUAAUUUGCCUACAAGAAGAGUGAAUAAUAUCAAAUGUCUAUGAUGAGAGAGCUUAAAUUCUUUUUUAGGCCUUCAAAUUUGUCAACAACGCAAUGUAAUCUUCAUCUCUCAAGAGAAAUAUCUCAAGGUUGUCUUGAAGAAAUUCGGCAUGCAAGAUUGCAAAGACACCAAGAUCCCUAUGCACACAAACAGGCAUCUAUGCAUUGAUGAAAAUGGUAAAGAUUUUGAUUAGAAGGUAUAUCGCUCCAAGAUUGGCUCUUUAUUGUACCUAUGUGCAUCUAGGCCACAUAUCAUGUUUGGUGUUUUCAUUUGUUCCCGUUUCCAAGGAAGACCGAAGGAAUCACGCCAUACGCUUGUGAAGCAUAUUCUUUGAUAUCUAGCUCACACACCAACGCUCGGAUUAUGGUACCCCAAGGGCUCGGAUCAUCAUCUUAUUGGAUAUUCUCACUCCGACUAUGAUGGAGAUCGCGUGGACCGCAAGUCAACAUCAGGCAUAUGCCAUUUACUCGGAAGAUCCAUAGUCUGUUCAUCCUUGAAGAAGCAAAACUGUGUGUCACUAUCUACUGUUGAAGCUGAGUACAUUGCUGCUGGUUCCUGUUGUGCACAGUUGCUGUAGAUGAAGCAAACCCUCAAGGACUACGACGUCAAUGUGAAGAAUGUUCCCCUCUACUGCGACAAUGAGUAUGUCAACAAGAUUACUCACAGCCUAGUUCAAUACUUGAAGACAAAGCACAUUCAGAUUUGUCACCAUUUUCUUCGUGAUCAUGUGCUGAAGGGCGACAUCUUCAUCGAUCACGUGAAGGCUGAAGAACAACUCGUUGAUAUCUUUACUAAGCCCUUGGAUGAAAAGAGAUUUUGCAAGUUGCGCUGUGAGCUAAAUAUCUUAGAAUCUUUGAAUGUUCUAUGAAAGGACAUACAUCCUAACACUUAUGCGAAAUUGAUCACUUAGAUGUGUAACACACGAAAUGACAUUUUUCUUUAAGAAUUGAAGACUAACCCUCCAAGUGUGAAGAAAUUGAUGAAGAAUUUGAUUCUCAAAACCCUAUGAAAAUUGUAUGCGGCGUCUGAAAUCGUCAUGAUUCUUAAACGGUGGGUCAUGCCACCAACGAUAGUUGAAAUUCUUCAAACUGAGUUUUUCGUCAUUUUUGCAAAUUCCUCAAAAUUUUCAAAGUCUUCAAACUGUACAAUUGUUGUUGUUCAUUGACUAUGUAUUAUAUAUAUAUAUAGAAACUCUAUUCAUCACCCAGGGUGCAG
RNAcentral lists this long non-coding RNA (25548 nucleotides) under Hordeum vulgare. RNAcentral describes it as "long non-coding RNA (HVUL_LNC007182)". Lineage: Eukaryota; Viridiplantae; Streptophyta; Magnoliopsida; Poales; Poaceae. The record is from RNAcentral.